Molecule: ribosomal RNA, 305 nt
Filed under: uncultured bacterium
Lineage: Bacteria
Description: bacterial SSU rRNA
Rfam family: Bacterial small subunit ribosomal RNA
Source: RNAcentral
UGUAACCUACGGGGGGCAGCAGUAGGGAAUUUUCGUCAAUGGGCGCAAGCCUGAACGAGCAAUGCCGCGUGAACGAGGAAGGUCUUCGGAUCGUAAAGUUCUGUUGAAGGGGAAAAAGAGCGGAGAGAGGAAAUGAACUCCGAUUGAUAUUACCCUUCGAGGAAGUCACGGCUAACUACGUGCCAGCAGCCGCGGUAAUACGUAGGUGGCGAGCGUUAUCCGGAAUGAUUGGGCGUAAAGAGUGCGUAGGCGGCCUGCUAAGUCUGGAGUGAAAGGUACCGGCUCAACCGGUACAGUCGCUGGAA